Molecule: long non-coding RNA, 3596 nt
Filed under: Equus caballus (horse)
Lineage: Eukaryota; Metazoa; Chordata; Mammalia; Perissodactyla; Equidae
Description: lncRNA (ENSECAG00000048916.1)
Source: RNAcentral
AUAAUCAGUCUAAAACAAUGUUCAUGUUAAAGAGACACAUUUUGGGGUGGUAAAUUUGUGCCCCUUCAGUACACUCUAUGAUGUUCGCACAAUGACGAAAUCACCUAUCGACGCAUUUCUUGGAACAUAUCCCCAUUGUUAGGUGACAUGUGGCUGCAUUGUGAACUAUAGGCCCCAUGCUGUGCAUUACACCAGGGGAUUUUAUACACCGCCGAGCUGGAGAAUUCUGACCCACAUGAACGAACCUACGUUCAGAUAGCUUCUCUCCGACCCUGUAGAUUCGUCCUCACAAUCAUGGGGGAAAAUGGGGAGAGUUUUGUCACGUGCAGGAGCUCUGGUCAGUUGGACCGAAGCAGGUGAUUUGGGCUUAAGGCCUAAGGAGAACUUCUCACUGCCUCAUGUUCCAAGCCUUGUCACCAGCUGGUCAUGGAGGCAAAAGCAACGUGUGCAGAAGAGAGAAGAGCAAUGAGUGCCAGGGAGACCUACCCCACGGAGGCCAGCCUCAGCUGCAUUUAACCUUUCUGCUGCGAGGGAAGGAGAAAGCCCUCGAAAGAGAGGCAACGGCCUACCAGGCUGCAGGUGUUGCUCCUCCGCUGAUUCCCAACCUCGGCUGCGCUUCUAAUCACCUGAAGAGAUUUAAAACAUCCCAGCGCCCAGGCUGAACUCCAGACCAAUUACCAGACUCUCUGGGGGUGGGCCCAGGCACCAGCAUUCUGGAAAGCUCCGGGGGUGAUUCCAUUGUGCAGCCAAGGUUGAGAACCACUGCUCCUAGUCCUACAGCCAGAGAGAGCCACACCCACGGGAAGACCUCGGCCACUGUCCAAGAGUCCGAUCCAAUUCCUUUUGCAUUCCUUUUUCUUGAAGAGAGAUGGGACAAGAAUGAGGACCAGCAGGAGACCGCCUCCCCUCCCCUACUCUGGGAAGGAGCUGUUCUAGGUGUCGUGCAGCUGGAACAUAAAGACUCUUUCAGGGACCCCACAACCUCGCAGCUGGAGGACACAACCCCACAAGCCACAUUUAGUGGACACAAACAGUUUUGCAUUGUGCUGGAUUGUUCUACUGUGAGCCCCAUUACAUAGGGGGCCAUGUUUCCCAGAAUCGUCUUCCUUGUGUGAUUCCAGGUUAGAAUCGCCAAAAGUGAAGCUGUGGGGGCUGAGGGAGGAGGCAGUGAGGCGGCCCCGCUGAAGGUCCGAGGCAGUGAGAGACAGGCGCAGAGGUGCUGCCAGCUUCAAGCUUGCCCCACUCUGCUGUCCCCACGCCGCCUCCAGCCCUUCUUCCUGAACGCCGGCCUCGCUGACCCACAGUGACCCCAGUACACCAUCAAUGCUCCACUGUGGAUUCAACGAGGCAGCAGCUACAAUGAGCCGCCAACCUUCCAUGGGCUUCUGCACCAACGCCUCUGCGGUCUCACUCCUUCAGCCAGAUGUGACCAGCCUCCAGGCUUUCCUGCAAGCCCUCACCUGUGUCCACACUUCUAGUGAGCGCCUUCUCUCUGCCCUUUUAGGACCAUUUCCCCAGUCUCUCUUGCAAUUGGGGAAGGUCGAAUUCUCAUAAUGCCUGAUAACCUAACACUCCUCGUGGUCCUGCUUUUCUGAUUCCACCCUCACGGAUACACCGUAGAAGGGCAUGAGGAAGCCUUCCGGGAUGUUGGAAACGUUCUGUAUCUUCAUCUGGGUGGUGGUUACAUGGAAUCUCUCUCUAUAUUUUUAAAUUCAUCAAAGCUUAUACUUAAGAUUUGUACACUUUAUCAUUCAUAUGCUGCAUCUCAAUAACUGUUUUUUUAAAGAGUGACUUAAGAGACUUUAUCAGCCAAAUAAAUAAAUUAAAACACAACAAUAGGUUGAAUGCAAUCUAUUGCCUUCGUGCCUAGUGCAAUCUAAUGAACCUGCCUGGGCUGCAGACCCCCCAGCCCCAAGCCUGCUUGCCAGCCUCCUCCCAGGCCCCAGCACGUCCCUCUCCGCAGCGGCUUCUGCUGAAUAUGUAACAGUCCUUCUAAGGACUCUCUGCCUGCCGGCUUUGACAAUAACAGAUCGUGAUUACAAAUGGCUGUUGACUGGGGAAAGAUCUUUGGUCUUCAUUAAGGUUUAUUUGUGACUGUUCCGAUGGUGGUUUCGGAGAGAAGAGAAAGAAUGCCGAUGCUAAUUAGGCCCUCCUAAUUGCCGUCGUCACUGAUUGCCUGUAUUAAAAACAUUUGAGGAAGUGUGGCAAUUAGAACUUCGGGAAAUAUUUAAAAACAAAGUGAAAAGAGGGCUCAAAGUGCAAGGACACAGAGAGGCAGCCAGGAGCCUCUGCCCAGCUGGAGUGGACCCUGAGUGACCCUGGACGUCUGAGCAGCUCGCCCCCUGGGACGGCAGCCAUGACGGUCUGAGGAGAAAGAUGGGCAAAUCCUCCCAACAGUCACCUUUCAGAUGCAGCUGUGAUCAGCCCUGGAGAGACAAUUUUGCAGACAGGAUAAUAAUAGUGGCAGACACACAUUAGUUAUAUAUGUGUAUAUAAUGUAUUAUGUAAUAUCCAUAUGUUAAAUCCAUGCAACAAGCUACAGCAUUGUCCCCAUUUUAAAGAUGAAGAAAUUGAGGUCUUCAUCUGAAGAAAAAGUAGAAAACUUUCUCAAGGUCACACACACAGCAGGCGGCAGACCCCAGCUCAAACCCAGGUCUGCACGAUUUCAAAGCACAUGCCUGUAAGCAAUACAAUAUUCCUUGUCUACGUUAGUCCCCAAGCCCUGGAUUGCUCUAGCCACCAGGAUCCCAGCAAGGCUGAGCUUGCUUGCAAGUUUGCACCACCCCCUCCCACCAACUCGUUAGCAGUCUCCCUCAAGAACCUACUUCCAGUCACCAAACUAGUUCUUUUACAGAGAAACUAAAGUCCAGAGAAUAUCAAGAAACCGAAGCUUCCCACGCCCAACUCCACGGUUUCCUGACGUCAGAGUCUACCUCCACCACGGAGAUAAACAGCCAAGGACACUCGUCUGAGAAAUCCUUUGUCUCCUCUGCUGGAAGCAGCCCCAGACACAGGCCGAUGGGAAAACGUUGACCAAGAAGGUCAUAGCCCCCCUCCCCUAUCUAAAACCCUAAAUAAAAACCCUAUACCCAGUUCUUAAUGGGGAGCAAGCAAUUUGGGGGACACUGGCCCUUGCUUUGUACCCUCUGCUUGGCACCCAAGAGUCUGUUCUCGUUAUUGGGAUUGGCAUCGGGAUCAGAGACUGAACUUUCAGUGACAUUCCCAGCCAAUUCAGGGAUCGGAGGUCUUUCAUCUGUCCCCGCAGUUCUGUCUGGAAGAAUUCUAACCAUGUUCUUUGCUCAUCACCAAAAGUCUCCAACCACCAACCAAACUUACAUAUUCCUCUGGCCCCGUGGUCCUCCACUACCUUAAACCAGAAUGGAAGCAACAUAAGGGAAGAGAUUUGGGUUUGUUUUAUUUCCAGUUGUGACCCUGCCAUUUAGAAGAGUGACUGACACAUGGUAGAGGCUCAGUAAAGAGUUGCCAAAUAAAUAAGAGCUUUCUCUUUUCCAAACAGAAAUACAUCCUCAUUUCUAGGCAUCUCUUGGUGUGUGAUGCUUUCUUAAAUACCAGACAUUUGUGAGGGAUAAGAAUUG